UGAGGAAUAUUGGUCAAUGGGCGAGAGCCUGAACCAGCCAAGUCGCGUGAAGGAAGACUGCCUUAUGGGUUGUAAACUUCUUUUAUACAGGAAUAAAAGGCUUACGUGUAGGCCAUUGCAAGUACUGUAUGAAUAAGCAUCGGCUAACUCCGUGCCAGCAGCCGCGGUAAUACGGAGGAUGCGAGCGUUAUCCGGAUUUAUUGGGUUUAAAGGGUGCGCAGGCGGGCUUUUAAGUCAGCGGUGAAAUCUGGACGCUUAACGUCCAAACUGCCGUUGAAACUGGGAGUCUUGAGUAUGGAUGAAGUAGGCGGAAUUCGUUGUGUAGCGGUGACAUGCAUAGAUAUAACGAGGAACUCCGAUUGCGUAGGCAGCUUACUAAGCCAUAAACUGACGCUCAUGCACGAAAGCGUGGGGAUCAAACAGGAUUAGAUACCCUGGUAGUCCACGCCGUAAAACGAUGAUUACUAGUUGUAUGCGAUAUGAUAGUAUGUGACUAAGCGAAAGCGAUAAGUAAUCCACCUGGUGAGUACGCCGGCAACGGUGAAACUUAAAUGAUUGACGGGGUCAUA
Molecule: ribosomal RNA, 569 nt
Filed under: uncultured bacterium
Lineage: Bacteria
Description: partial 16S ribosomal RNA
Rfam family: Bacterial small subunit ribosomal RNA
Source: RNAcentral